GGGCUUGAGUUAAAGCAGUUCAUCACGCAACCUGUGAUAGAACCAGCUUCUCCCUUUCCAAGCUUCUAUCAAAGCCUUUUGUUGUUGAUUAGCUUCUUACCUAGUUAUGGCUGGUCUCCCUGACUGCAUUAACUACCCUGGACAGAGAGACCAAUUCAGGAGCUUUUUACUUCCCAGGCCUUCAACGUAUUGCAGUUCAUUGAUUCAGUCCCCAAAUGUUUAGGUGCCCCUGAGCCAGGCUCGGAUUUAGGAGUGAGACUGGUGGGCCUUCCAUCUCCAACCUCGCCAAGCUCUAGAUCAGGUGGAGAAGCAGACAGGGACACAGGCAGAGACAAAUCUGGUGGAUGAGGACUGUAAUGGGGGACUUAAAAGGGAGCUCAAAAAAAAAAAAACAAAAAAACGGAGCUCAGUGGAGGCAGGGGUGGAGGGGAGGGGGACUCAGAGAGAAUGCCUCACAGAGUUAUCCAGGCCACUGGCAGGAUGCAUACCCUGAGUCAGGCAGGGUCCAGGCAGAGGGAGCCUCAAGAGCCCUGGCAGCCAGAGAGUGCAAUGCCCACAGAAAGCUGUGAGUACCUCCAUGCUCCUGCACUGUGGCUCUUUGAGAGAUGCGGGAGGCGAGAGGUAUGGCUGGAAGGCCUGUAAUGGCUGGAUCUUCCAGAGUCUUGUAGAUCAGAGGAAGGAGGGGAGCUACGCACACGUUCUGAGCGGGAGAGUGACCCAGACAGAUUUGCUUUUUGUUAGAAGAAGCUUGCUCUGACUACAGGUAGUGUGGAAGAGAGAAGAUGGGAAACAGGGGUGAGGGGCCUGUUGUGGUGAUCCAGGCCAGAGAUGAUGCUAGUGGAACCACAGCACUGCAGGAAAACUGGAGUCCGAGAGGCAUUUGAGAGACAGAAUCAAGUGCACCUGGGGAUGAGUUAGGUUGGGACAUGUAUCUGAGGACUUAGAUUUCUGAUUCCUUCCUGAUCCCCAGCCAUAAAAUGGGUGGCAACCUGUAAUUCUCUCCAGUUUGUCCCAUAAUUUGAAAAACACAGUUAGCAGAUAGGAGAUGAAUGAUAAUAGCAGCUCCCAGUACUUUUAUGUAUCCCCCUGUACAGCCCGGGAAGUUGAGGCCUGGAGAGUUUAAAUUACUUGACUAGGGUCCUGACCCUGGAGCACAGGCACUAGACUGCUAAGCUGUGCUGCUCACAUUGGCGUAGGAGUGGGGGUUCUCACUAAUCCUGGCUGGACCUGCUCCACAGGGGAAAGGCCUGUGGCUAUCUGACCCCAGAAGGGGAUUUCAGAGGAGGGAGCCAGCCAAGGAUGUCCCAAGGCCUGGCUGACUUCUCAGCUGUGACCGUGAGUAACCCCAGGCCUCUCCAACAGGAAGCAGGGUGGGCCUGGCUGCCAGACUUAGCUCGGGUUGGGUAUUUAUCUCUCUGAGUCUCUGGGCUGGGAACCCAGGAAGUUACCCUUCUCUCGUUUCCCAGGUGGGUCCUGGUUAAGGGAGAGAGCUAGGUGCCAGGACAGGAUGCCGCAUUUGGGGCGAGACAAGCCUGAGUUAGGAUCCGGGUUCUGCUGCAUAUUGGUAGUAUGGCCUUGGUUCGAAACACCAAGGCUCAGGGACUCCAAACCGAGAGGGGGUUCAGUAUGGUCUGGCUAGGAUCGCUUGCCCUGGAGCCAACAGAACUGGGUCCAAAAUCUGGCUGACACAACACCGACCACCUGUGUCACACACACUUUGGGUAUAGUUUUGCAUGCAUAGGAAGGGAUCUUGAAGGAGACACUCUAAACUUUCCCAUCUCUGAGCCACAGUUUCUUCGUCUAUAAGUUAGGAAUAAGAAUAUCAACCUUUGGGACUUCCCUGGUGGUCCAGGGGUAAAGAAUCCACCUUCCAAUGCAGGGGACAGGGGUUCGAUCCCUGGUCAGGAAACUAAGAUCCCACAUGCCGUGGGGCAACUAAGCCCUGGUGCCACAACUACUGAGCUCGCGCUCCACAACUAGAACCUGCGUGCCGCAAACUACAGGGCCCAUGCGCUCUGGACACCACCUGCCACAACUAGAGAGAGAAUAAAAACCCGCACACCACAACUAGAGAGAAGUCCACGCCACAACUAGAGAGGAGCCGAGGAGCCCGCGCUGCAACGAAGACCCUGCGUGCUGCAACGAAGACCCGAUGCAGCCAAAAAAAUAAAGAAAAUAAAGAAAGAGAAUAAAUAAAUAUUAAAAAAAAAAAAAAAAAGAAUAUCAACCUUUCCAGAAGAGGCUGUGCCUGCAAAAGGCUCAGGCCUGGAGGGACAUGGGGAUCUGAGUGAGUAGUCAGCAGGGAGCUCCAGGCUGGCACUUCCUUACUUCUCCAGCCCCCUAAAUUCUCAAGCAUAGCCUGUCCUUCCUCCCUGAGGCCCUGACCGGACAUAUGAGGAAACCAGUACCUAAUAACAUAAUUCAGACAACUAAGAAGUGGAUUUCUUUAGAGAGAUACACAUUCCAUAGACAAAAUGCGGUCCAUCUCAAAAGAACUGGAAUGGCAGCUGAGCCACCCCGGCAGCUGACCAAGGGCGUAUCGAUUUGUGCUAGGCUCCUUGCGAAUAUCUGAGCCAGUCACACAUGAAGAUAAAGGCUCCAAAGAACUCACCCACGGUGAUCUGUCCUGCUUAAACCUCCCACGGCCAAGUCCACAAGUCUCCCCGUUGAUCAACCAACUCUGCCCUUUCCAACCCAAGCCUGACCAUCACUCGCGGAGAGUAGUCAUGGUUCAGAACCCGGGAUCUGGAGUCAGGCAGCCCGGGUUCCAGCCCAAGGAUUACUGAGUCAAAGGGUAUUUACAUAUUUACUGUUGAGAGAUGCUGCCAAACUGCCUUCCAAAAAGUUGGACCCAUUUAUACUCCCACCAGCAGUAUAAGACAGUGCCCGUUCCCAUACUUUCUCCAUCUUUACCAAUCUGUUUCAAAACAAAACACCCUCUACUACCAUGCUUGCAUUUCUUGCGCUAGCAUCUUUUCAUCUUCUUUUGGCAAAUUGAAUUUCUGUAAAUUGCCUGGCCAUAUCCUUUGUCCAUUUUUAAAAAUUUGAGUUGUCCUCUUUUUGUUAUUUAUUUGUAGUAGCUUAUUACAUAUUUGGAUAUCAACCUCUGUUAUAAAUGUGAAAGUAUGACUUCCACUUAAUCAGUGGUCACUGGACUUUGUUUAUGGUGUCUAUUUGCCUCC
Long non-coding RNA from Physeter macrocephalus (sperm whale), 3182 nucleotides. RefSeq lists it as uncharacterized. NCBI's taxonomy places the organism in Eukaryota, Metazoa, Chordata, Mammalia, Artiodactyla, Physeteridae. The transcript is spliced from 3 exons. The record is from RefSeq and is a predicted model, not a curated record.